GAUGAACGCUGGCGGCGUGCCUAAUACAUGCAAGUCGAGCGAACGGACGAGAAGCUUGCUUCUCUGAUGUUAGCGGCGGACGGGUGAGUAACACGUGGAUAACCUACCUAUAAGACUGGGAUAACUUCGGGAAACCGGAGCUAAUACCGGAUAAUAUUUUGAACCGCAUGGUUCAAAAGUGAAAGACGGUCUUGCUGUCACUUAUAGAUGGAUCCGCGCUGCAUUAGCUAGUUGGUAAGGUAACGGCUUACCAAGGCAACGAUGCAUAGCCGACCUGAGAGGGUGAUCGGCCACACGGGAACUGAGACACGGUCCAGACUCCUACGGGAGGCAGCAGUAGGGAAUCGUCCGCAAUGGUCGAAAGCCUGACGGAGCAACGGCGCGUGAGUGAUGACGGUCUUCGGAUCGUAAAACUCUGUUAUUAGGGGAGAACAGAUGUGUAAGUAACUGUGCACAUCUUGACGGUACCUAAUCAGAAAGCCACGGCUAACUACGUG
This 497-nucleotide ribosomal RNA is filed under the name uncultured bacterium. Its description in RNAcentral is "partial 16S ribosomal RNA". It matches the Rfam family "Bacterial small subunit ribosomal RNA", at positions 28 to 507 of the family's 1533-position model. The record is from RNAcentral.